UUAAGAGGGUGCAGCCGUGAGAAGGCGAGAUUUCGAUAUUUUAGUGACUUUUGACAUGCUACUUUUCACAUAAUCGAAGCUUAUUAAAUAAAGAAAUGUACAAUUAUGUAAACAUAAAGUCUUAUAGAAGUGUACUGCAAAGGAAAAUUUUGGUAUUUAAUAGUACAUCUUUGUUUAAUUUGUCAUUUCUUAAAAGCAAAAUUUCAAAAGCGCUCGUCAGAGCUCACUUUGAGAUAUGAAAUUACCAUUAAGCUAUGUAAAUACAUUUUUUUAAAUAUUUUCGUAGGACAGAAUAUAUAGUCUAUUGGUGAACCACAGCGGAAAAUAUUAAAAAUUAUAUAUUUUAAUAAUUACGCACCCAUUUUUAUAAAUGACUUAUUAUACGAUUUUGGAAACAGCUUUUUAUGAGAAAAGCCCGAUUUUAUUCGUUAAAACUAUUUUGUAUCGAUUAACUGAGGAUGAAUAAAUAAUAAAAGUAAAUUUACAUAAUUAUUAUACGACGAUAGUUAUUACAAACUAUUAUUGAAAAUGGCCUAUAUAAUUACGCGCACGGGCGAAUGUGAUUUAGUACGCGCCGGGUCAUCCCAGAGGGUGGACGUAUCGCUCAUUUCCCGCGCGUCUAAAAGUUGAUUGACCUUACGUACGACCGAGGUUCAAAAGGAGUAUAGUGCGUCAUUGGAUUUGAUACUUUAGCAUGGGUAACAAACGCAAAAAUAUAGUUGCAGUAGAAAUGCGAAGUCUGCAGCGAACGCCAGGCAAUCAAAAAGGAGAAAGAUUAACGAGGAAAAAAACCAACGUACUCAUGAAUCUCCUGACAAUAACGACUCCUGUGUUGAUUCAAAAAAUAAUAAUCGUGACAAUGAAUUAUUUGAUGCACUCAUAUCGGAUCUGGAAAAAAUAGAUGAGAAAAAACAAAAUAUACAUUUAGAAGAAACGGCAAAUAUUGAAGAGUUUGAAUUGGAAGUGGAGCCACAAAAACAUAUCAUUCCUCCAUAUCAAAUUAUAGGAAGAAGGAUUGUUGAUUUCAUGUAUUUCUUUGAUCAAAUCAAAAUCGUAGCUAACCAUAAUCCUGGACUCGGUUGUUCAAUAAGUAAUGUUGAAAUUGUCAAAGAAAUACUUAAUGGCUUAGAAUCGACAAUCCACUUCAAAUGUACAAUGUGUAACAAGAAAUUUAAUGUCACACUAUGCAAUAAUAAUUUUCCAAAAGAGAUGACCACAAACCAUGCUGCAGUGACUGUUUGUAAAUAAUAAAAUCUAAAAAUGUAA
Pieris napi is the source of this 1266-nucleotide long non-coding RNA. RefSeq lists it as uncharacterized. Lineage: Eukaryota; Metazoa; Arthropoda; Insecta; Lepidoptera; Pieridae. The record is from RefSeq and is a predicted model, not a curated record. The transcript has 5 exons.